Marchantia polymorpha subsp. ruderalis is the source of this 224-nucleotide non-coding RNA. The record is from the annotation of a GenBank genome assembly. NCBI's taxonomy places the organism in Eukaryota, Viridiplantae, Streptophyta, Marchantiopsida, Marchantiales, Marchantiaceae.
UAGAUGCUCGUAACUUGUUCCUUUGUUAUCUCAAUGUUUCCUCCUUUUGCUGUCAAGCCUUCAAAGCUCGACGUAGUCUGGUGACUGAGGAAUGCUCUCAGCUCGAGUCAUUCCAACAUAUCCAGCAGGCCAACUCGAACUGCGAAGUCCUGGAGAGCUUUGCUGCUUUGGCAGCCAAAAGGAGGACGAAUUGUGAUAACGACCGAUCAAGUUAUGAGCAUCUG